This 1246-nucleotide long non-coding RNA is filed under the name Brassica napus (rape). Its description in RNAcentral is "long non-coding RNA (BNAP_LNC017355)". Lineage: Eukaryota; Viridiplantae; Streptophyta; Magnoliopsida; Brassicales; Brassicaceae. The record is from RNAcentral.
GGCAAUUUGGAGACUUUUUGAGAGCUUUGCUGGAAACAGAGAAGGAAUCGAUUAUUGAGUCAGAAUAUAUUAUUAGGGUUUUGUACCAUUUUAGAGGCAGGUCUGCCUAGAGACCUUUUAGACCUAGUUUUGAGAGAAGCAACCUUAAUACUAUUGGAGAGAGAGCUUAUGAUUAGAGGGAGGGAUCUGAACUUCGUAACAGAGAAGAUCUUGAACUCCAUUGCUUUCAUUAGUCUAUUUAUUGUUUCUCUAGUUAUUCAUUUAUUUAAGAAUUAUUCAGACCAUCAUAACUAUGUUUCUUAUGAUAUUUAGGUUUCUCAUAAGGUUGAUUUAUGUAUUGCUAACAUGAACUAUUGCUAGGGUGUUUAAAAUAUAGUUCUUCAUCUAGUUGCUCUUAAUGUUAAGUUUAUGAUUGAUCACCCUUUAACUUAGAUCUUAGGAUUAAUUGAGACAAGCAAUAACUUGGCCCAAUACCUGAAACUAAACUAGUAUGAUCUAACUGACUAGAUACACACGAAAGUUGGUCUAGUAAGUUAGAGAACACUAAUCAAACCCGCUCGUAAAGCUUUCUAGAAGAAGCAUCGAUCAUAUUUUGAAAGGUGUAUCGAUCGAUAUUCUUUAAGAAUCAUCGAUCGACACUUUCUCGUGAUUGAUAUACGAAAGUUGAAAUCCGAGAUCUAGAUAUAGAUAAUCCAAUUGAUUUUACCCAAGUUUGAGUUCGAGAACAAUUUACAUCUGUAAACCCCUAAUAACUCAAAUAAGUUGGUUACUUAUCAUACAUGAGAUAAUACCUGAAUCUAGCUAUUUCUCCAACUGUUAACAACCUCAUAUCAAACCAAUCGAACAACUCCCUUGUUUACCACUUCAUUUACUGCUUAAAACCUUUUUGUCUAGCUUUAUUUCGAAGACUAUAAAUCUACUGUGUAAUCCUAGAGUCUCUGUGGAUUUGAUCCCUAAGUAUUACAUCUGAACCUCUUAUUUGAGAGAGUAAUUCACUCCUUAGGGUAAUUUGAGUGAUAUCAGGAUGCCACUGAGCUUAUACACUGUCAUUUAUAACAUUAUUAAUAAAUAAUUACAAUCUCGCAUUUUUUUCUACUCUCCAUUUACAAUCUAACAUACUUUGUACAUGUGGUGUACUCUUUGCAAUGUCAAUUACCGAAUGACCUUGUAUAAAUUAAACAUGUUACACCUCUUUCUCUCCCCUAUCUUUCCUCUGCACUCCUCUCUCCCAUCUCUCCUCUUCUCU